This 449-nucleotide ribosomal RNA is filed under the name uncultured bacterium. RNAcentral describes it as "partial 16S ribosomal RNA". It matches the Rfam family "Bacterial small subunit ribosomal RNA", at positions 29 to 523 of the family's 1533-position model. The record is from RNAcentral.
AACGAACGCUGGCGGCAUGCCUAACACAUGCAAGUCGAACGAGAUCUUCGGGUCUAGUGGCGCACGGGUGCGUAACGCGUGGGAAUCUGCCCUUUGGUUCGGAAUAACAGUUGGAAACGACUGCUAAUACCGGAUGAUGACGAAAGUCCAAAGAUUUAUCGCCAGAGGAUGAGCCCGCGUAGGAUUAGCUAGUUGGUGUGGUAAAGGCGCACCAAGGCGACGAUCCUUAGCUGGUCUGAGAGGAUGAUCAGCCACACUGGGACUGAGGCACGGCCCAGACUCCUCCGGGAGGCAGAAGGGGGGAAUAUUGGACAAUGGGCGAAAGCCUGAUCCAGAAAUGCCGCGUGAGUGAUGAAGGCCUUAGGGUUGUAAAGCUCUUUUACCCGGGAUGAUAAUGACAGUACCGGGAGAAUAAGCUCCGGCUAACUCCGUGCCAGCCGCCGCGGUAA